Magallana angulata is the source of this 528-nucleotide long non-coding RNA. RefSeq lists it as uncharacterized. NCBI's taxonomy places the organism in Eukaryota, Metazoa, Mollusca, Bivalvia, Ostreida, Ostreidae. The transcript is spliced from 3 exons. The record is from RefSeq and is a predicted model, not a curated record.
CGUCACAAUAUGUCUGACAUCCGUUUGAAACGCCAUUUCGUUCCAGAUUGAUAGCAUUAUGUCGUGGUACAAAAUAGCUAUACACCGUUCAAUUGAACUCUUCUAACGAAGGAGAUGAGAUAAGAAUGAAAUCACCAAAACGCUUAGAAAAUAUGUCAAUUCCCUUCGUGAUUAAAGCUUUCAACUAACAUAGAUUAUCAGCUGUUGUGUAGAGAAACGUGAAAUCGAAAUAAUAUACUGUUUCCCUGCUAAUGGCAAUACAUAUUUGUCAUGUCAUCUGCAACAGACGAUCAUAAAUAUGUGACGGAUUAUCGAUAAAGAUAUAGCUAUAAGCCGGAUUUGCAAGCCAAAUGAGGGAACGACAGAAUCUUGAAAAAGAGCAUGUUUUUAAUUACCACACAUACAUGUGUAUCACUAUGGACAUCUAAUAUUUUUGUGGGAUUUCAUCCAGCAGUUUGCCUUAAAAGAAUUUUUAAAUAUUUUAGUUUCAUAUUUAUGUGGAUUCCAAUAAAAAUCAUACAAACUUCA